Molecule: ribosomal RNA, 253 nt
Filed under: uncultured bacterium
Lineage: Bacteria
Description: partial 16S ribosomal RNA
Rfam family: Bacterial small subunit ribosomal RNA
Source: RNAcentral
UACAGAGGUCCCGAGCGUUGUUCGGAUUCAUUGGGCGUAAAGGGUGCGUAGGCGGUUUGCUAAGUUUGAUGUGAAAUCCCGGGGCUCAACCCUGGAAUUGCAUUGAAUACUGGCGGACUAGAGUACUGGAGAGGAAACUGGAAUUUACGGUGUAGCAGUGAAAUGCGUAGAGAUCGUAAGGAAGACCAGUGGCGAAGGCGAGUUUCUGGACAGUAACUGACGCUGAGGCACGAAGGCCAGGGGAGCAAACGGG